GAUGAAGAACGUAGCGAAAUGCGAUAAGUAAUGUGAAUUGCAGAAUUCAGUGAAUCAUCGAAUCUUUGAACGCACAUUGCGCCCGCCAGUAUUCUGGCGGGCAUGCCUGUCUGAGCGUCAUUUCAACCCUCAUGCCCCUAGGGCGUGGUGUUGGGGAUCGGCCAAAGCCCGCGAGGGACGGUCGGCCCCUAAAUCUAGUGGCGGACCCGUCGUGGCCUCCUCUGCGAAGUAGUGAUAUUCCGCAUCGGAGAGCGACGAGCCCCUGCCGUUAAACCCCCAACUUUCCAAGGUUGACCUCAGAUCAGGUAGGAAUACCCGCUGAACUUAAGCAUAUCAAUAAGCGGAGGA
RNAcentral lists this unclassified non-coding RNA (348 nucleotides) under soil metagenome. RNAcentral describes it as "partial contains 5.8S ribosomal RNA, internal transcribed spacer 2, and large subunit ribosomal RNA". The stretch from base 1 to 120 matches the Rfam family "5.8S ribosomal RNA", at positions 35 to 154 of the family's 154-position model. The record is from RNAcentral.